RNAcentral lists this transfer RNA (72 nucleotides) under Bacillus cereus. Its description in RNAcentral is "tRNA-Glu". It matches the Rfam family "tRNA". From Rfam's summary of the family: Transfer RNA (tRNA) molecules are approximately 80 nucleotides in length. Their secondary structure includes four short double-helical elements and three loops (D, anti-codon, and T loops). RNAcentral also lists the same sequence under 2 other names. Lineage: Bacteria; Bacillati; Bacillota; Bacilli; Caryophanales; Bacillaceae. The record is from RNAcentral.
GGCCUGUUGGUCAAGUGGUUAAGACACCGCCCUUUCACGGCGGUAACACGGGUUCGAAUCCCGUACGGGUCA